UGGAUGAACAUUUGUGGCAUUAAUAAUUUGUGCCAUAGUUUUCGAUCAUAAUGUGUAUGGGUGUGAUAUCAGACAUAUGCAUAAGGAGUGCCCUGCCUUUGGCACACACCCUUCAGUUCAGCACAGACCUUCCUUUCUGCCUGUGGACCUGCCUUGGAUGUGCAUCUUCUAAAAAUUGGCACAGACCUUCCUGGUCUUCAUUCCUAUUUCUGGAAAGUUUUUGUUGCCCGAACAGGACAAAACUAUUAACCAGGCAUGUAGGGGUAAGAGCACAUCUUUCUCCCAGGACAAAUCCAAGAAACCAAAUCAUUUUCUGCUCUUUUGCUCCUUUUUAUUUAAACAGACCAGACAGAAAUCCUCCGACAAGGCCCUCACCUUCAAUGCCAUAGGGAAAGAACCGGCCUGGUCCUCUUACCGGCAGACCCAGAAGUUGCCACUGGAAAAUCAAUAGUGUCUUUUACCCCUGGGACCAAUUGGGUCAGUGAAGAGGAGGUGUGGUCUCACCCCUUUACAGAUUCAUAGGACCCUCAUCGUUUGGUGUCAGCGGCGGCAGCAGAAACAGGAUUCGGUGGCAGCAGCAGCAGGAGAAGAUUCGGUGGCAGCAGUAGAAGAUUUUUGGGCGCCAGAGGUGGAAGGUGAUUCCGGGAUGACUGGGAGCAGGAUGCAGAGGCAUCGUUGGAAGGGCCCAUUCAGAAGAGGAAGGUGAGUUUUCUUUCACAGGAGAGAUCAGGAAGACGCCCAGUGUGUAGAAGGAUCGGUCGCAUAGUGAGAAGAGAAGGUUAAGGAUCGCGAGAUUGCGGAGGUGACGACAUUUGAGGAACAAAGAGGAGGAGGACAGUUGGAGACAGUGGAAGAAAGAGAGAAGGCAACAGCGGAUGGGUCAUGGAAUGCAAGGUGGAAGUCAGCAGGAACAGGCGUCUAAUUCAGCAGCAGAUCUUCCAGUGUGGGAGGAAGGUCGCAACUUGUCUACCUCGCCAGCAGUUCAUCUGGUGCAGGAGGUAGAACGGCGAUGGUUGGUGCAUUGGGUGAGUUGAGAGCGCAGUCUAAUGUAUUGGUUAAUCGGGAUUCAGAAUCUGACCUUCAAAUAGUGAGACAGAGGGAGGAAAAAUGUUGGCAUUAAUUAAAAAAUAUUUUAGGGAUGGUAAGGGAAAAGAGAAAAAGGAUAAGACAGGGGAUUUGGUAAAGGAAAGGGGUCAGUUGGUGCCAGUAGCAGAUACUUAUGCGUGCGCCUUGACAGAAACAGUAUUUGCCUAGGAAACUGAGGAGGGCAAUUGAAGCUGGGAAAUUUGUUGGGAUAUAUAUAUAUUUGACAUGGGAAACAGUACAGGCCAAAGAGGAUGGGGUUAAGAUUGAAGGGGAAGGAAGGAAGAACAAGUCGAUUUUUGAUUGGUUAAAAGGUUUUUAGGUUUUUGCUAGCAUUUAUCUUGAAAGAAAACCAGAGCAAUGUCUGAAUGUGAUUAAGUAUAUAGAUACUAUAGUAGACACAUACAAGGGCACUUCAUGGUCUGAUUAUGACAGGAAAUUUAGAAAAAAGAUGGUUAAUAGCAAGAUGUUGUCGUUUGGUCAAAAGGACAUAGAUUUAUGGACCAGAUGGGUAUCGAAGGAGCAAGGGGUUUUUAACAAUGUGAGUAGAGGGUCGAUGGCGUAUAAACCAAGGAACGUUUGUUUUGCUUACAAUGAGAAGAGAUGUAGCAGGGGGUAUUGUAAAUUUAGACAUAAAUGAUUGGCUUGUGGAUUAUCCCAUGUGGUAAGUGAAUGUAACAAAAAGAGAGAGGGGAAUAGGCAGCCCUUUUCGAGCGGCUCAACAGAAGAACAGAAAUGCCAAUACAGGUGGGCAAGCUAAGUGAGGCAUUGCAGGGUUACCCAGAUCAAGAUACGGCAGAAUUUUUAGCGAAGGGUUUUUUAGAAGGUUUUCAGAAUACCAGUUUUAGAGGUUCCACCCCCCAGUGAAGUUUACAAAAAUUUAAAAUGGGCUAGUCAGCAUGAAGAAGCAUUGAAACAGAAACUGGAGAAGGAAUUGAAGGCAGGGAGGAUGGCGGGACCAUUUGCGGAAGUUCCUAUAAAGGAUUUGGUGGUGUCUCCAUUAGGCCUAUUCUGUACUUGUGGUAAGAAAAAUUAUGCGUUUAAGGAUUUGCUAGAUUUUUUGAAGGAAAUGUACAAGGAAGGGAAGUCCAAGGUGAUGUUGGUUACUUCAUUAGCGGCAAUAUCCCAUUUUUCUUUAGCAGAAGGGAAGCCUGAUUUGAUGCGUAAUCCUAUUAUUAAAAAACUAUUAAAAGGUUGGAGUAGAUUGGAGGGCCCUAGGGUGGAUAAAAGGGCAUCCAUUGUUAAGACUAGGUUGCAACAGAUAUUGGUAUCCUUGGGUGGGGUUUGUUUUGACCAGUUUGAAUGUGUGUUGUUUAGAGCAGCUUUUGCAUUAUCAUUUGGAGGAGCAUUUCGUAUCAGUGAGUUAGUGCCACCUUCUAAAAAGGCACUAGGAAAGGGGUUAGGGUAUAAAGAUGUGUCCAUACAAGAAAAUAAAUUGUUGAUUUAUAUUCGUAGUUCUAAGACAGACCGGAUGGGGAAAGGAAAAUGGUUAAGAAUAUGGGAAACAGGGGAAGUGUCAUGCCCUGUUAGGUUAGUAAGGGAAUAUAUGGUAGUGCGCCUGGAGGGAGGUUCACUAUUGUUGUUACAUGAAGAUGGUUCCCCCCUUUCAGCUUUUCAGUUUAGGCAGGUACUGAAAAGGACGGUGAUCGAUAAUGGGUGGGAUCCUAAGAAAUGUGGGUCUCAUUCUUUCAGAAUAGGUGCAGCAACUGAAGCAGCAAUGGGAGGGGAAAGUAGUGAGAGAAUAAAGGCAUUGGGAAGAUGGAACGAUGCAAGGGAAGAGUUUUAACUAAUGUUUUUGUUUUUUGUCGUAGCAGGAGGUGCGACAACUUGUCACGUUUUGAUAUUAGCCCAUUCAUUUAUUUUCUGGGCAAUGAAGCAUGCAGGGGUUGCAGGACAGCAGAUGGGUUUGCCAGGGGAACACAUGAAGAUCACUUGGCUUGGUAAGAGAGGGAUGAGAUGGGAGCAGAUGAGAGGUAUGUUCUUUGGAGCAGCAAAAAGGAAUCCUAUACAUUUGUUAAUCAUACAUGCGGGGGGGAAUGACCUUAUGUCACACAGGACACCAGCUCUUAUUGAAAACAUGAAGGCCGACGAUAGAUAUUUUGAGCAAAGGGAGAAUCCGGUGUGAUAUGGUCAGAUUUGAUUCCAAGAAGCACUUGGCGAGGCCCCACUUCCCCAAAGGGCAUAGAGAAGGUCAGGAAGAAGGUUAAUAGGGCCAUGCAUAAAUUCAUGUGUUCCUCUGGUGGGGGGGGGUAAUAAGACAUGAAAAUAUAAAAUGUAGUCAAACACGGUUAUACUGAGGAUGGAGUUAAUUUAUCGGAAGAAGGUUUUUGGGAACAUCAAGGUGUUCAUUGAGGAGUGGUGGAGGUCACGGGAACUGUAGUGGGGCCAUUGGAAAGGUUAGGUGUCACCCCUCCCCUUUUUUCCAUUGGUUGGCAUCAGUGCGGCUCUAGGUCUAUGAAUUGGUUACAGUGCAGGCCUAGGUUGAGUGAGUCACUAGUGUGCGUCAGACUGGGACUGCACGGUCUUCUCUGGCGCAUGCAAGUGACUGGGUUAGCGCCAUUAUGCACAACGAGGGGGAAGGGCAGGGGGAAGUGCAAAAAGACGGUCACUGAGUGCGCCCGGCCCCGUGAUCCCUGCUUCAUGUUUUGGAAUUUGUUUGGGCACGUUUUUUGAGUUGCAGAUUUUUUUGGAGAAUGAAAGCCACAGCUGGGGUCCGGGUGUAACUAAACUUUGAUUAUUUAACUGUUAAAUAAAGCCUGUGAUCUCCACAGAUUUUUGCCAUAAUAUGUCUCUGUGUUCUUUAAUUGAAUGGUAAAGGCGUAACAUGAUGCAAAAGGGGGUUUCUUGUCCUAGGGGGAAUGAAGGCAGUUAAGGACAAAAUGGGGUUAGGCAAGGUCCCCUUCCCUCUAAGGUGCAGCAUUUGUUAGCCUCCCCCACCCCUUCCCAGCUAGCCCCAAGGUAGGCACAAAGGAAGGGGGCUAGCAACGGCGGGAAAAAAGUGGGCGGGUUGGGGGAGGAAGAAGAGGAGGAGCGUGGAGCAGGACAGGGUUCUUAAGGUGAUGCUGGGUGUGAAGAGCUAUUACUUACUUGUUUUUUGUUUCCCACCCUCCCUCCCUAGGUAAGACGGAUCUGGUUGAGAACAAGGUGCUCCAGGGUUGUUACAACCGAUCGCCUAGUUGGGGUCAGGAAGGAAUUUUUCUAAUAGAACUAAUUGGUUGAAAAGUGCUAGAGUUUUCGCCUUCCUCUCGAGUACCAUUAUCUGUGGUGGUCAAGGCAUCAGUGCGGUUCUAGGUCUACGAAUUGGUUACAGUGCGGGCCUACCUUGAGUGAGUCACGAGUGUGCACCAGACUGAGACUGCACGGUCUUCUCUGGCGCAUGCAAGUGACUGGGUUAGCGCCAUUAUGCACAAUGAAGGAGCAGGGGGAUGGGCAAAAAGGCAGUCACUGAGUGCGCCGGGCCCCGUGAUCCCUGCUUCAUGUUUUGGAAAUAUUUUGGGCAUUGAGCCCCCGUUUUUUGAGUUGCAGAUUAUUUGCUCAGGAGCCCACGUUUGGAGAAUGAGAGCCGCAGCUGGGGUCAGGGUGUACCUAAACUUUGAUUAUUUAACUGUUAAAUAAAGCCUGUGACCUCCACAGAUUUUUGCCAUAAUAUGUCUCUGUGUUUUUUAAUUGAAUGGUUAAGGCACAACUUGAGGGGAUAGGGG
Long non-coding RNA from Xenopus laevis (African clawed frog), 4784 nucleotides. RefSeq lists it as uncharacterized. The record is from RefSeq and is a predicted model, not a curated record. NCBI's taxonomy places the organism in Eukaryota, Metazoa, Chordata, Amphibia, Anura, Pipidae. The transcript is spliced from 3 exons.